CCUACGGGGGCAGCAGUGGGGAAUAUUGGACAAUGGGCGAAAGCCUGAUCCAGCCAUGCCGCGUGUGUGAAGAAGGCCUUCGGGUUGUAAAGCACUUUCAGUGGGGAAGAAAGCCUUGGGGCUAAUACCCUCGAGGAAGGACAUCACCCACAGAAGAAGCACCGGCUAACUCCGUGCCAGCAGCCGCGGUAAUACGGAGGGUGCGAGCGUUAAUCGGAAUUACUGGGCGUAAAGCGCGCGUAGGCGGUCUGAUAAGCCGGUUGUGAAAGCCCCGGGCUCAACCUGGGAACGGCAUCCGGAACUGUCAGGCUAGAGUGCAGGAGAGGAAGGUAGAAUUCCCGGUGUAGCGGUGAAAUGCGUAGAGAUCGGGAGGAAUACCAGUGGCGAAGGCGGCCUUCUGGACUGACACUGACGCUGAGGUGCGAAAGCGUGGGUAGCAAACAGGAUUAGAUACCCCAUAGUC
RNAcentral lists this ribosomal RNA (463 nucleotides) under Vreelandella stevensii. Its description in RNAcentral is "partial 16S ribosomal RNA". It matches the Rfam family "Bacterial small subunit ribosomal RNA", at positions 338 to 795 of the family's 1533-position model. Lineage: Bacteria; Pseudomonadati; Pseudomonadota; Gammaproteobacteria; Oceanospirillales; Halomonadaceae. The record is from RNAcentral.